ACGCUCGACACCUACGGGGGCAGCAGUAGGGAAUCUUCCACAAUGGACGCAAGUCUGAUGGAGCAACGCCGCGUGAGUGAAGAAGGUUUUCGGAUCGUAAAGCUCUGUUGUUGGUGAAGAAGGAUAGAGGUAGUAACUGGCCUUUAUUUGACGGUAAUCAACCAGAAAGUCACGGCUAACUACGUGCCUGCAGCCGCGGUAAUCUGAGCGGGCUGGCAAGGC
This 222-nucleotide ribosomal RNA is filed under the name uncultured bacterium. Its description in RNAcentral is "partial 16S ribosomal RNA". It matches the Rfam family "Bacterial small subunit ribosomal RNA", at positions 328 to 539 of the family's 1533-position model. The record is from RNAcentral.